Non-coding RNA from Phrynosoma platyrhinos (Desert horned lizard), 72 nucleotides. The record is from the annotation of a GenBank genome assembly. NCBI's taxonomy places the organism in Eukaryota, Metazoa, Chordata, Lepidosauria, Squamata, Phrynosomatidae.
GCCAGUGUGGUGUAGUGGUUUGAGUGUUGGACUAUGACUUGAGAGAUCAGGGUUCGAUUUUCUGCUCAGCCA